Molecule: ribosomal RNA, 1084 nt
Filed under: Oscheius tipulae
Lineage: Eukaryota; Metazoa; Nematoda; Chromadorea; Rhabditida; Rhabditidae
Description: SSU rRNA
Rfam family: Eukaryotic small subunit ribosomal RNA
Source: RNAcentral
UCGCUUAGCUGCAGGUAUUAGUGCAAACCAAUCGUUUUCGGACGUAGUUUGCUGACUCUGAAUACCCAGUAUAUCGACGGUUUAUCCGUCGAAAGCUCGGAAUAGUGUCUGCCCUAUCAACUAGAUGGUAGUCUAUUAGACUACCAUGGUGAUAACGGGUAACGGAGAAUAAGGGUUCGGCUCCGGAGAGGGAGCCUUAGAAACGGCUACCACAUCCAAGGAAGGCAGCAGGCGCGUAACUUAUCCACUACCACAGUGAGAUAGUGACUAAAAAUAAAAAGUCCAAUCCUAACGGAUCGGAUAUUUCAAUGAAUUGAGCUUAAAUAGCUCUAUGAGGACCUAAUGGAGGGCAAGUCUGGUGCCAGCAGCCGCGGUAAUUCCAGCUCCAUUAGUGUACAUCGAUAUUGCUGCGGUUAAAAAGCUCGUAGUUUGAUCUGGGUUGCAUGCGUUGAUACUCCUUUGGAGGUUAUCUUCGCUGCAGCUAAACUGCUGGUUAUCUGCAGGUGUUUUCGGACCCUGUAGCGGCUAGCGAGAUUACUAACACAAAAUCAAAUAGCUUAGAUAAGGCGUCUGCCUGAAUGUUCUAUGCUGGAAUAAUGGAAAAGGACUUCGGUCUUGUUUAUUGGUUCUUAGUUCGAAGUAAUGAUUAAUAGAGACGAUUCGGGGCUGUUCGUAUCAUUACGCGAGGGGUGAAAUCCGUUGACCGUAGUGAGACGUCCAAAAGCGAAAGCAUUCAGCAAGAACGUCUUCAUUAAUCAAGAACGAAAGUCAGAGGUUCGAAGGCGAUUAGAUACCGCCCUAGUUCUGACCGUAAACUAUGCCAUCUAGCGAUCCGAUGGGGUAAUUUGCCUUGUCGGGGAGCUUACCGGAAACGAAAGUCUUUCGGUUCCGGGGGUAGUAUGGUUGCAAAGCUGAAACUUAAAGAAAUUGACGGAAGGGCACCACCAGGAGUGGAGCCUGCGGCUUAAUUUGACUCAACACGGGAAAACUCACCCGGCCCGGACACCGUUAGGAUUGACAGAUUGAAAGCUCUUUCUCGAUUUGGUGGUUGGUGGUGCAUGGCCGUUCUUAGUUGGUGGAUUGA